Molecule: ribosomal RNA, 505 nt
Filed under: uncultured bacterium
Lineage: Bacteria
Description: partial 16S ribosomal RNA
Rfam family: Bacterial small subunit ribosomal RNA
Source: RNAcentral
GACGAACGCUGGCGGCGUGCCUAAUACAUGCAAGUCGAACGCACAGUUUAUACCGUAGCUUGCUACACCAUAGACUGUGAGUUGCGAACGGGUGAGUAACGCGUAGGUAACCUGCCUGGUAGCGGGGGAUAACUAUUGGAAACGAUAGCUAAUACCGCAUAAUAUUAAUUAUUGCAUGAUAAUUAAUUGAAAGGUGCAAUUGCACCACUACCAGAUGGACCUGCGUUGUAUUAGCUAGUAGGGGAGGUAACGGCUCACCUAGGCGACGAUACAUAGCCGACCUGAGAGGGGGAUCGGCCACACUGGGACUGAGACACGGCUCAGACUCCUAAGGGAGGCAGCAGUAGGGAAUCUUCGGCAAUGGACGAAAGUCUGACCGAGCAAAGCCGCGGGAGUGAAGAAGGGUGUCGGAUCGGAAAGCUCUGUUGUAAGAGAAGAACGGGUGUGAUAGUGGAAAGUUCACACUGUGACGGUACCUUACCAGAAAGGGACGGCUAACUACGUG